UUUCCAGGAAGGUGUGGUUAAGUGUAAGUGGUGAAAGAAGGGAAACCAUUGCUUAAUGUCGCAAAGGAGACAGACUGUCCUAUGUUGUGCAGAAAGCUCCCACACCAGGUGAAAUGCACAUCUGAACAGAGACAGGCAUGGGAAGGAGGCCCAAAAGCGACAUGGCAAACCACCGGGCAGGGGACUCGCUCUUUGCUGCUUCCCAAACACUUAGACGCCAGCAGCAUGGGUUGGUGUGCUGGGCUGGUUAAGGCCGAUGGUGGAGCAGAGCCAACCUGCAAAAUCCACUUCCUCAGCAUCAGAUCUCUUGAUAAAAGCAUGAACCUGCAUGUAAGGAAACGAGAGAACGUGGUGUUAAAAAGAAACAAAAAACAAAACAAAACCCACCAGGAAGGAAAAUCCAAGAGUUUCAGGUCUAGAGCUUGUGCUGCACUUGGAAAGAGCACCUGGCACCUGCCCCUGAGCAACAGUGGGGCCAGCUGCAGGCCCAAAGACCUGCUCCACCAGUCACAGCAGCUGUGAGGCCUUGGGCAAGUCACCUCUUGGAGCCUACUCUUGCAGUAUGGAGACAGUAACUCUGCCUUAAAUGCCUCACAGGCUUGUUAGAAGGGACAAAGAAAAUGAUGGACUUAGUGCAUAUUAUACUAUAUACACCGUCUAUGGCUGUCCAGAUAUUUACAGUAUUACUUAGCUAUUUCCACUGCCACCAAACGAGACAGCAGGCGGAGAGUGACUCUGGAAGGAGGCUGAAUGUAAGGUGAGGCAGUCAGUAUUAGGGAAAGGCGGCAUCCCCAUGAAGGGGGUGGGCUGGCCUUUUCUUUCCCGUGGCCCCCUCAGGCCUUUCCUCUGGCAUAUGCUUACUCAGGCUGUGGGGGUCACCCCAGCUUUCCCUUAAACUGAUGGGAGAGCAAAGGAGACUGGUGUUUGGUAUUCUGCAGCCCCAGGCUCAGCUGGACCACAGUGGGCAGGGAAUGAAUGGGCUCUGGAAGUACUGCACAGAUGACUGACAGAGAAGAAGAACAAAUGAAUAAACAGGUACUGUAAGAAUCCGGAAUAAAUAGACUCACCAUGAGUUGCUUCAAAUCUGCUCUCUCUGCGGGGUUUUUUAUUAAGCUUAAAGGAAGAAAGACAAGGUAAGAGCUAUUGCCUGGCACUGGUUCUAGCUCAAAUAACAUGUUUGCAUGCCUGUCUUCUCUGCACACUAGAGGCUGAGGAUUGCCUGGGCUUGAUUCAUCCUCCUGUUCUAAGCACAGUAUCAUGCCCACAGUAAGUUAAUACAUUCUUGCUGAGUUAAACUAAGGUCAAAAAGCAACGUGCCAAUCCCUGGAGAGCAAGUACCAAAAGGAGCAGCUACUACAUCCAUGAUGUAGUUAGACAUGCCACAUAAGUCUUGGCACUCUAAAAAAGGGCUUAUGGCAGCAGCCAAGAAUCAUCAGACGGGAGGGUAAAGGGCAAAACUCUGCCUGCAGAAGCAAUGCCGGUGCUUCCAGAAAUGGGGUGGGGAGCCUGACAAAUCCAGAGUAUACGCUUCCAGAGAACAAGGAGCCAACUUACCAUUUAUUCACAAAAUCUUGAAAUUCCAGACUGAACACUCCACUGGGCAGUUUUGGAGGAGGCUGCAAACACAUGUUGAGAUAAGAAAAAUGCCUGGCUCCUUGCUCCAGCCAUCUCCUCUCCCCAUCCCACCCCUACCACCAGCCAGUGCUACUUUUUUUUAAAGUCUUCUCUGCAGUCCAAAGGCAGUACUACUCUCAUUCAGUCAAGGAAAGGCACAGGUAGAAGGCCAGUGCUGCCUGUUGGGUAACCAUGUUGGAACCACUGAUCUCAAAUAGCACAUUUAGAAUUGGGACCAAGUCAAGUCCACUCACUUGUCGGGUGAUUUUGAACUAAUCACUAUUCCUCUAUGAACCUCAGUUUACUCUUCUAUGACAUGAAGAGGUUGGGCCUAAUGAUCUCAGGGACCCUUUCAAGCUCUGACACUCUACAAUGGUAAAUCUUGGAGUGCGGCAUGGGAACGUAACCAGCAAUUUACUGGCAGCAACAGCUAGGGGCACGUGCAAACCACCAGGCAUAGCCCAGGUCUGACAGCACCUGCAGAAGCAAACUGGUUUUUAAAAAUCCCUUUUCUGAGCCCUAGAGAGGCAGUGAAAAGUUAAUAAAACGUUAACUGACA
Molecule: non-coding RNA, 2173 nt
Filed under: Pan troglodytes (chimpanzee)
Lineage: Eukaryota; Metazoa; Chordata; Mammalia; Primates; Hominidae
Source: RNAcentral